This 253-nucleotide ribosomal RNA is filed under the name uncultured bacterium. Its description in RNAcentral is "partial 16S ribosomal RNA". It matches the Rfam family "Bacterial small subunit ribosomal RNA", at positions 524 to 776 of the family's 1533-position model. The record is from RNAcentral.
UCCGAAGGGUGCGAUCGUUGUUCGGAAUUAUUGGGCGUAAAGGGUUCGUAGGCGGGAGAGCAAGUUGAGUGUGAAAACCCCGGGCUUAACCUGGGACGUGCACUCAAGACUGUUUUUCUUGAGUAUGGGAGAGGGUGGUGGAAUUGCUGGUGUAGGAGUGACAUCCGUAGAGAUCAGCAGGAACGCCGGAGGCGAAAGCGACCACCUGGUCCAAAACUGACGCUGAGGAACGAAAGCGUGGGGAGAAAACAGG